This 891-nucleotide unclassified non-coding RNA is filed under the name Leishmania donovani. RNAcentral describes it as "gene:unknown". The record is from RNAcentral. Lineage: Eukaryota; Euglenozoa; Kinetoplastea; Trypanosomatida; Trypanosomatidae.
ACAGACCUCCACGCUGGUCCGCGCUGUACUCCUUCAUGACCACCCAUCUCAUUCCCUUCGUGUCUCCACACACACACACACACACACACAUGGCAGGGCGUCUGCGGUGGUGUCUUAGUCAGGCGCACGGAGUCGCUGGAAAAGAAUACGACCCGCGCGACUACACUCGCUUAUACACACCUGCGAGUAGAAGGGCACACGCACACGAACGCACGCAGGCCCAGGCAUGCGCGCGUGCCGAUGAGGACGACAAGCACCAGCGAUGCAACCUUACCAGGGUUUUAGAUAUGAUCUGUGAUGCAGCGCCUCACUGUGAGAAAGCACCCGUGGUGAAAUACAUGAACUAAACUCAGCGCUGUCAUCGCGGCAGAGGCAGUGGAAGCGGGGGUGAGAAGCACGAGUUGUGUGAUGCCUCGCGCUAACAGGCUUCGGUGUAUCUCUUUCUCUUGGCUGCCGUCUGCCACAACCGGCGGCCGUCGUUGCAGCAGGGAGAGUCACACAUACGCGCCUGCUGCUGCUGCUGCUCCCGCAUUCCCUUUGCCUCUCGGCCCUGUUGCACGCCGACGCCGCGUUGGCGGUGUCGCGCGCUUUGGGGUUUGGCGAGGUUGUCUUCUGCGCGUGGGCGUGCAUGCGCACAUGCCCGUCACAGCGGCGCUGCAUGGCCCUGUAUUGUUGGUAACGGUAGUAAUUGUGGUGCCAAGCAGUUUGGGACUGCAUACUGUACCGCGCGCCUGUAGCGUGCCCUUCUACUCUUCUCACCGUCCUUCUUUCUCUUGCUCUCCCAUGACUGGGCUGUUCAUCGAUCUGGGUGCGUGGGUGCGUGUGUGGGGCUGUGGCGAUUCUGCACUGCUGCUGCACCGCUCACCAACAACGAAUCUUUCAUCGGAUAAG